GGGGAGGUCGCCAUGGCGACGGCGGCGCGGCCGCCACUCGCAGAGCGGCUUCUUGGCGGAGCCCCGCAGGCGCGGCCAAUGAGGAGGCGGCGCUCAGGAUGGGCGCCGCCAUUUUGGGGGCCGCCCUGAGGGGCGGGGGCCGCGCCGCUCCUGCUCUGCCGCCGCUGCGGGUCCUGCGGCCGCCCCGGAGCUCCCGUGGGGCGGACCGGGUCCCUCCCGGGCCUCGUAGGUCACGACCCGCCGGCGGCUGAGGCCGUCUUGCCCUGGGCUGCGGCCGGUGUGUCCUGUCAGGCGGCUCACGGGUGUCUCGGGACUCUGGCGAGGCUCCUGUGCUUUUCCCGCCCGGCUGAGCGCUGUAUAUUGAAACUGACAAUUUAAUAUUGGCCUCUUCAUCCUCACGGACCAUCAAAAUAUUUACCAUCUUCCAAGAAAUCAGAAGAAAGACCCCUCAGCUUUCCCACAAAAUGACUGUACUUUACAAGCCUGACCUGAUAACAGAGCAGAUGCUGCAUACAAGAAUUGUAGAAUAAGAUUAAAUAUAGAUCUAUGCAAAUAUGUCCAUGUCCUGCUGAUAGAUCAAAAAUCUAAAAAAUUAAGUAGUCUUAAUUUUAGAUUGUUGCUGUGUAUGAAAUUCUUGAAUGUAAUUAUUGAUAUUAACUGAUAAAGCUUUUCUGGAGUCAUAGUUUUGGCACUGCUGUAGAAAUUGCACUGAUAGCUUUGGCUUAUUUUUUGUCUUAUAUAGGAUAUGCAGCACAAGCAAUGGGAAUAUUUUGUCUGUUGAUACAUCAAGACAGAAAUUUGGCAAGGUAGUUCAUGAGGUCACUGUGAACUAGCUUCAAUUUUCUGAGGAAAAAAUGUGAUUUUUGCAAAGUUGUUCUUAAUUAUUACUAACAUUGUAAGUUAAUAUAGUUGAGCAUUCCCUCUGCAGUGCCUUCAGGGAUUUCUCUUCCUCAAAAAAAAAAAGUUAAAAGAAAUCCAAUAGCUGUGCCUCCAUCUGCCAGAAUGAUUAUAUUUUUCAUGAUGCAAUUACAAAGAACUCGGAUCUGUUUCACCUGUCAGUGUGAUUAGCAGUACAAGCAAAGUGCUUUAUGAAGUAUUUCCCUACAGGCUCACACAACAAGUCACUUCAAUAUUUUGGAUAGGGUUUCCUGGCAAUGCCUAGCACCUAGAUACAGCAUUACAUACAAUAUCCUGGCAAAUGGCAGGUAGGCUUCCAGAUGCCCCAAUUCAUAUAUUGUCAUUUGCUCUCUGAAACGUUUCCUCACAGGGAAGGAAGACUAAGAGCAGGAGCAGGAAAGUGUGUGACUCUCCAUAAAUAUAUUACAGCUACAUCUUCACUGAACAAUGCCUGAGUAGCAAGCAUAAUAAUUCAGCAUGGACACCAGCUUUGUCUUACUUUUAUCACAGUUUAGCUUGAGGAGGCUUUGGCAACCAGGCAGCUGAAACUAUUUCUACACCUGAUCAGUUCUGACACUGUGUGUCACACCUCCCUGUUACCUCUGCUUCAGAGUCCCGGACUUGUUGUUUCAGAUCCUUCUGUUCUUCUCUCAGCUCCCACAGCAAGUCGUACAGACGGCGCAUGUUCUUGUGUUUCUCUGAGGACCACGGCUGGAAGCAGAUAAGUCAGUGAGAAACAGCAGCACUGUCUGGGUGCACAGGGUCAGGUACUCUGCUGGCAGAAACUGGCACCAUCCUGCUACAGCCAAUAAAGCAGCACUUGUUUCCAUCAUUGAAACAUCAAACCCAUGGUCAGCAUGGGUUUAUCAGACUUCAUUUUGAUUUAGAAUCCAUCAGUAAUAUGAGCCAGAUGGCACAUCUUGCGCUUUGCUGAUGCUGCUGUUUUACUGUAGGAAUGAAAUGAGAUGAAUUGGAAUGCAUUGAAAUAGAGAUAAAAAAAUGGGAUUCCAGCAAUGGUAUUCUGUGUAUUCUCCCCAUUGGGGAACAGAAAUUUUAAAAACCCUUUUACAUUAAAAAAAAAAAAAUCCCUA
Molecule: non-coding RNA, 1988 nt
Organism: Taeniopygia guttata (zebra finch)
Lineage: Eukaryota; Metazoa; Chordata; Aves; Passeriformes; Estrildidae
Source: RefSeq, a predicted model, not a curated record